RNAcentral lists this transfer RNA (65 nucleotides) under Coenomyia ferruginea. RNAcentral describes it as "tRNA-Ala". It matches the Rfam family "tRNA". Rfam says of the family: Transfer RNA (tRNA) molecules are approximately 80 nucleotides in length. Their secondary structure includes four short double-helical elements and three loops (D, anti-codon, and T loops). The record is from RNAcentral. Lineage: Eukaryota; Metazoa; Arthropoda; Insecta; Diptera; Xylophagidae.
AGGAAUGUAGUUAAAUAUAACAUUUGAUUUGCAUUCAAAAAGUAUUGAUUUUUCAAUCUUUCUUA